This 472-nucleotide ribosomal RNA is filed under the name uncultured bacterium. Its description in RNAcentral is "partial 16S ribosomal RNA". It matches the Rfam family "Bacterial small subunit ribosomal RNA", at positions 28 to 507 of the family's 1533-position model. The record is from RNAcentral.
GACGAACGCUGGCGGCGUGCUUAACACAUACAAGUCGAACGCUGAAGCUUGGUGCUUGCACUGGGUGGAUGAGUGGCGAACGGGUGAGUAAUACGUGAGUAACCUGCUCUUGACUCUGGGAUAAGCCUGGGAAACUGGGUCUAAUACUGGAUAUGACAUGCCACUGCAUGGUGGUGUGUGGAAAGGGUUUUACUGGUUUUGGAUGGGCUCACGGCCUAUCAGCUUGUUGGUGGGGUAAUGGCCUACCAAGGCGACGACGGGUAGCCGGCCUGAGAGGGUGACCGGCCACACUGGGACUGAGACACGGCCCAGACUCCUACGGGAGGCAGCAGUGGGGAAUAUUGCACAAUGGGCGGAAGCCUGAUGCAGCGACGCCGCGUGAGGGAUGACGGCCUUCGGGUUGUAAACCUCUUUCAGCACGGAAGAAGCGAGAGUGACGGUACGUGCAGAAGAAGCGCCGGCUAACUACGUG